CCUACGGGUGGCAGCAGUGAGGAAUAUUGGUCAAUGGACGAGAGUCUGAACCAGCCAAGUAGCGUGAAGGAUGACUGCCCUAUGGGUUGUAAACUUCUUUUAUAUGGGAAUAAAGUGCAGUAUGUAUACUGCUUUGCAUGUACCUUAUGAAUAAGGAUCGGCUAACUCCGUGCCAGCAGCCGCGGUAAUACGGAGGAUCCGAGCGUUAUCCGGAUUUAUUGGGUUUAAAGGGAGCGUAGAUGGGUUGUUAAGUCAGUUGUGAAAGUUUGCGGCUCAACCGUAAAAUUGCAAUUGAUACUGGCAGCCUUGAGUACAGUUGAGGUAGGCGGAAUUCGUGGUGUAGCGGUGAAAUGCUUAGAUAUCACGAAGAACUCCGAUUGCGAAGGCAGCUUACUAAACUGCCACUGACAUUGAUGCUCGAAAGUGUGGGUAUCAAACAGGAUUAGAUACCCCUGUAGUC
RNAcentral lists this ribosomal RNA (460 nucleotides) under uncultured bacterium. RNAcentral describes it as "partial 16S ribosomal RNA". It matches the Rfam family "Bacterial small subunit ribosomal RNA", at positions 338 to 795 of the family's 1533-position model. The record is from RNAcentral.